AUGUAUCAUUGUUAAUGAAAAAGAUAAAUUGCGUCAGACCAUUUCAAUCGUUUUAUCUGCAAUCGAGUCUGAUAUUACGUAUAGUGAAGGUUAUCGAGUCAAACACAAAAGCUUAUUUGUAUGGAUCUCUCUGCAUCUUGUAAUAGGCAAAGUUUUGAAAGAGUACUUAAUGGGAAAAUCGGUGAAAGAGAGUAUGAAUCGUAGUUGUAUCGUGCUGGUGAUUUAUUUUGCAGCAUCUUACCCAACCAUUAAAGUAUUCGAGUGUAAAAAAUAGAAUAGUUUUCGGAAGAAAAUGAUUGGCGCCUUGAUCAUAAUAGAGGUAUUUUCUAUGCUUAUCAGGUAUGUUCUGUAUAUCGCAUCAUUUGAAAUCGGUACGAUUUGCCAAAUAUUGAUCGAUUGAUAUAUAAAACCUAUAACAGAAACAUCAGCGAUGUUAUAUCAGCCGUUUCAAUACCAAAUUCUGAGUUUUCUAAUUAAAUAUCUAUAAAAAUAUUUCCAAAAUCGUACCGAUUUCAAAUCGUACGAACUUCCCUGUAUAUGUUAAUGGAACCUAAUUACAUACGUAUAUUUACACACUAGGGUGAUUUAGGUACUCGGAUUUUUCAAACCGGUUUUAUUCUGGUUGUUCAAACAUUUAUGGGCGGUUUCGAUUAUCGAAUAAACCGGCUUUUCAUCUAAAAUAUUUAUACAACAACAUAUCAAAAUUCCCUGCAAAUUCAUUUAUUUAUUUCGGUAUGCGUUCAUUUAAAGUAUCUGCAUAUUUACCAUACGGAUUUUUUUAAGUAAUUUUUCUUAAAAACACAUCUUCUGUGGCACUGUAGCGAAAAGCUAUAAAAAAUGUAUUUACACUCUAGCACAUCUGAUUCCAGAUUUGGUUCACGAAAUGAUUCAAUAAAAAGCAUUAUAUAUAAAUAUUAGAAAUUACAUUUAAAAAGACAAGGUUCAGGUUUUUAGCAACUAAGGAAAAAAUCCGUUGAUCCCAGAACUUUUAAAUAUUUAUUGGAUCUAAUGUUUAAUUUCAAUAGUUUUAUUCCAUUUUUGGCUUUCAAUUUUUGACUAACUGUAA
Molecule: long non-coding RNA, 1066 nt
Organism: Rhagoletis zephyria (snowberry fruit fly)
Lineage: Eukaryota; Metazoa; Arthropoda; Insecta; Diptera; Tephritidae
Source: RefSeq, a predicted model, not a curated record